This is an RNA transcript of Octodon degus (degu), 1434 nucleotides long. It is a transcript of the gene named AP-1 complex subunit sigma-3 pseudogene, with no coding region annotated. The record is from RefSeq and is a predicted model, not a curated record. The transcript has a single exon. Lineage: Eukaryota; Metazoa; Chordata; Mammalia; Rodentia; Octodontidae.
AGCCCCGCGGGCUUCUGCGCUGAGCUCCGGCCUUUGAGCCCCGCGUCCUGCCGGCAGAGGGGGCGGCAGCCCGGCCACCAUGAUACAGUUCAUCUUGCUCUUCAGUCGGCAAGGGAAACUGCGGCUGCAGAAAUGGUACACCACCCUCCCCGACAAAGAAAGAAAAAGGAUCACCAGGGAAAUCAUUCAGAUCAUUCUCUCUCGGGGCUACAGGACCAGCAGUUUUAUUGACUGGAAGGAGCUGAAACUUGUUUAUAAAAGGUAUGCUAGUUUAUAUUUUUGCUGUGCAAUAGAAAACCAAGACAAUGAGCUCUUGACGCUAGAGAUUGUGCAUCGGUAUGUGGAGUUGCUGGACAAAUACUUUGGAAAUGUCUGCGAGCUGGAUAUUAUCUUUAACUUUGAAAAGGCAUAUUUUAUCCUUGAUGAGUUUAUAAUAGGUGGGGAAGUUCAAGAAACAUCUAAGAAAACUGCUGUGAAGGCCAUUGAAGAGUCUGACAUGCUACAGGAGACGAUGGAAGACUAUAUGAACAAACCCACAUUUUAGCCAUGCAUCUACUUGAGGACUCAGUGCUCUGAGCUGUGCACAAUGAAGAAACAACACCCUGUAUCCAGUCUUGACACAGUCUUUAGCACCAUGCCAAAAAAUGACUUAAAGGGAUUCUUUAUUAACUAGCAAAAAUGGAAGUUGGUUAGCAUAGUACAUUUAUGCUGGCUACAUGUCUGUAUUGUACUGUAUGUGAGUAUUUACCCCGCCUCCAGCUGUUUGAAAUGACUGUUGCCUAAGCCAAUCAUCUAGUGAUUUGGAAUAUUUUAAUUCCAUAUGAUAUUUCCAAGCUAAUUUCAAAAUAUUAUUUGCAGUAUAUUUGUGUUGCAUUUGAUCUUUUACUGACGAUUUGAAAACCAUAUUGGCUAACCCAUGAUUUUGAGUGUAAAGUGUACCUUCUAUCGCUGUUUCCCUUCCUAAGUAUUUAGUUUUCUAAGUCGUAUAUGAAUUCAAAGUUAUGUUAAUAGUUCAGAGUUCAUAUAUAAUGGUAAGCAUAUUUAAUAGACUCAAUAGUACUGUAAUUUCUGGUCAGAUACAAUGUAUCUGAUGUUUAUGUCUUGAAUUCUUUUUUUUUUUUUAUAGGAUGUGAAUUAAGGAAGAUAACCAAAGAGAAUAUAGAAUUUAACACAUGUUUUUGAUGCCUUAGAAGCUUCUGUGUAGGCUGAGGUUUUUAUUUUGGCUUUUGAUUAAUAUAAGGAACAUUUCAAGAAGUUUAGGUUUUCUACAAACUCCAUGUUUAGAGCUCAAAAAAUUUUGAGAUACACUGUCUAUGAUAUCCUUUAUUAUAAAAGUAGUAUGAUAGCAUUUAAUUAUAGUAGCAAUAAUCAUUAUUGCUAUUAUGACAGUCUCAUAUUUGAGCCAUGCCUAUUGACUUGAGAGAUUUUGUUUAA